This 149-nucleotide unclassified non-coding RNA is filed under the name uncultured Capnodiales. The record is from RNAcentral. Lineage: Eukaryota; Fungi; Ascomycota; Dothideomycetes; Capnodiales.
CUGAGUGAGGGCCCUCGGGCCCGACCUCCAACCCUUUGUGAACCUAACCUGUUGCUUCGGGGGAGACCCCGCCGUUUCGGCGGCGGCGGCUCCCCCGGAGGCCCAUUAACACUGCGUAACUGUUUAGUCGGAGUUUUAAUAAAUAAUCA